UCCCACGUGGUCUAGUGGUUAGGAUACCUGAUUUUCAUCCACGAGGCCGGGGUUCGAUUCCCGCUUACGAA
This 71-nucleotide transfer RNA is filed under the name Stegodyphus mimosarum. It matches the Rfam family "tRNA". From Rfam's summary of the family: Transfer RNA (tRNA) molecules are approximately 80 nucleotides in length. Their secondary structure includes four short double-helical elements and three loops (D, anti-codon, and T loops). The record is from Rfam by way of RNAcentral. Lineage: Eukaryota; Metazoa; Arthropoda; Arachnida; Araneae; Eresidae.